This 429-nucleotide ribosomal RNA is filed under the name Bacillota bacterium. Its description in RNAcentral is "Firmicutes bacterium partial 16S ribosomal RNA". It matches the Rfam family "Bacterial small subunit ribosomal RNA", at positions 355 to 776 of the family's 1533-position model. Lineage: Bacteria; Bacillati; Bacillota. The record is from RNAcentral.
UGGGGAAUUUUGGACAAUGGGCGAAAGCCUGAUCCAGCAAUGCCGCGUGUGUGAAGAAGGCCUUCGGGUUGUAAAGCACUUUUGUCCGGAAAGAAAUGGCUCUGGUUAAUACCUGGGGUCGAUGACAGUACCGGAAGAAUAAGGACCGGCUAACUACGUGCCAGCAGCCGCGGUAAUACGUAGGGUCCAAGCGUUAAUCGGAAUUACUGGGCGUAAAGCGUGCGCAGGCGGUUGUGCAAGACCGAUGUGAAAUCCCCGAGCUUAACUUGGGAAUUGCAUUGGUGACUGCACGGCUAGAGUGUGUCGGAGGGGGGUAGAAUUCCACGUGUGGCAGUGAAAUGCGUAGAGAUGUGGAGGAAUACCGAUGGCGAAGGCAGCCCCCUGGGAUAACACUGACGCUCAUGCACGAAAGCGUGGGGAGCAAACAGG